GGCGAGUGAAGCGGCAAGAGCUCAGAUUUGAAAUCGUGCUUUGCGGCACGAGUUGUAGAUUGCAGGUUGGAGUCUGUGUGGAAGGCGGUGUCCAAGUCCCUUGGAACAGGGCGCCCAGGAGGGUGAGAGCCCCGUGGGAUGCCGGCGGAAGCAGUGAGGCCCUUCUGACGAGUCGAGUUGUUUGGGAAUGCAGCUCCAAGCGGGUGGUAAAUUCCAUCUAAGGCUAAAUACUGGCGAGAGACCGAUAGCGAACAAGUACUGUGAAGGAAAGAUGAAAAGCACUUUGAAAAGAGAGUGAAACAGCACGUGAAAUUGUUGAAAGGGAAGGGUAUUGCGCCCGACAUGGGGAUUGCGCACCGCUGCCUCUCGUGGGCGGCGCUCUGGGCUUUCCCUGGGCCAGCAUCGGUUCUUGCUGCAGGAGAAGGGGUUCUGGAACGUGGCUCUUCGGAGUGUUAUAGCCAGGGCCAGAUGCUGCGUGCGGGGACCGAGGACUGCGGCCGUGU
This 503-nucleotide ribosomal RNA is filed under the name Pichia kudriavzevii. Its description in RNAcentral is "eukaryotic LSU rRNA". It matches the Rfam family "Eukaryotic large subunit ribosomal RNA", at positions 88 to 602 of the family's 3401-position model. Lineage: Eukaryota; Fungi; Ascomycota; Pichiomycetes; Pichiales; Pichiaceae. The record is from RNAcentral.